RNAcentral lists this ribosomal RNA (397 nucleotides) under uncultured bacterium. Its description in RNAcentral is "partial 16S ribosomal RNA". It matches the Rfam family "Bacterial small subunit ribosomal RNA", at positions 523 to 917 of the family's 1533-position model. The record is from RNAcentral.
AUACGUAGGGUGCGAGCGUUGUCCGGAAUUACUGGGCGUAAAGCGCUCGUAGGUGGUUUGUCACGUCGUCUGUGAAAUUCCGGGGCUUAACUCCGGGCGUGCAGGCGAUACGGGCAUAACUGGAGUCCUGUAGGGGAGACUGGAAUUCCUGGUGUAGCGGUGAAAUGCGCAGAUAUCAGGAGGAACACCGGUGGCGAAGGCGGGUCUCUGGGCAGUAACUGACGCUGAGGAGCGAAAGCAUGGGUAGCGAACAGGAUUAGAUACCCUGGUAGUCCAUGCCGUAAACGGUGGGCGCUAGGUGUAGGGGUCUUCCACGACUUCUGUGCCGUAGCUAACGCAUUAAGCGCCCCGCCUGGGGAGUACGGCCGCAAGGCUAAAACUCAAAGGAAUUGACGGG